UGGGGAAUAUUGGGCAAUGGGCGCAAGCCUGACCCAGCAACGCCGCGUGAAGGAAGAAGGCUUUCGGGUUGUAAACUUCUUUUCUCAGGGACGAAGAAAGUGACGGUACCUGAGGAAUAAGCCACGGCUAACUACGUGCCAGCAGCCGCGGUAAUACGUAGGUGGCAAGCGUUAUCCGGAUUUACUGGGUGUAAAGGGCGCGUAGGCGGAACUUUAAGUCUGAUGUGAAAUACCAAGGCUCAACUUUGGAACUGCAUCGGAAACUGGAGAUCUAGAGUGUGGGAGAGGAAAGCGGAAUUCUCAGUGUAGCGGUGAAAUGCGUAGAUAUUGAGAGGAACACCGGUGGCGAAGGCGGCUUUCUGGACCAUAACUGACGCUGAGGCGCGAAAGCGUGGGU
Molecule: ribosomal RNA, 397 nt
Filed under: uncultured Oscillospiraceae bacterium
Lineage: Bacteria; Bacillati; Bacillota; Clostridia; Eubacteriales; Oscillospiraceae
Description: bacterial SSU rRNA
Rfam family: Bacterial small subunit ribosomal RNA
Source: RNAcentral